CAACUCUGGUUUCUCUUCAAUCACGCACAAGUUUUUCGCCUUUUACUAAAGACUUCCGUGGAGAGCAACGCUUACGAGUUCAACAUAUUUUUGGACGGGCUUUGCUCCCGGCAGAGCC
Molecule: small nuclear RNA, 118 nt
Filed under: Esox lucius (northern pike)
Lineage: Eukaryota; Metazoa; Chordata; Actinopteri; Esociformes; Esocidae
Description: U5 spliceosomal RNA
Rfam family: U5 spliceosomal RNA
About the family: U5 RNA is a component of both types of known spliceosome. The precise function of this molecule is unknown, though it is known that the 5' loop is required for splice site selection and p220 binding, and that both the 3' stem-loop and the Sm site are important for Sm protein binding and cap methylation.
Source: Rfam by way of RNAcentral